GAUGAACGCUAGCGGCGUGCCUAACACAUGCAAGUCGAACGUGAGGAAGACUUCGGUCUUCUGAAAGUGGCGGACGGGUGAGUAACGCGUGGGUAACCUGCCCUAUACACACGGAUAACAUACCGAAAGGUAUGCUAAUACGAGAUAAUAUAAGAGAUUCGCAUGGAUUUCUUAUCAAAGCUGAGGCGGUAUAGGAUGGACCCGCGUCUGAUUAGCUAGUUGGUAAGGUAACGGCUUACCAAGGCGACGAUCAGUAGCCGACCUGAGAGGGUGAUCGGCCACAUUGGAACUGAGACACGGUCCAAACUCCUACGGGAGGCAG
This 322-nucleotide ribosomal RNA is filed under the name uncultured Bacillota bacterium. RNAcentral's name for it is "bacterial SSU rRNA". It matches the Rfam family "Bacterial small subunit ribosomal RNA", at positions 28 to 351 of the family's 1533-position model. Lineage: Bacteria; Bacillati; Bacillota. The record is from RNAcentral.